RNAcentral lists this ribosomal RNA (253 nucleotides) under uncultured microorganism. Its description in RNAcentral is "partial 16S ribosomal RNA". It matches the Rfam family "Bacterial small subunit ribosomal RNA", at positions 524 to 776 of the family's 1533-position model. The record is from RNAcentral.
UACGUAGGGUGCGAGCGUUAAUCGGAUUUACUGGGCGUAAAGCGCGCGCGGGUGGUUUCUUAAGUCUGAUGUGAAAGCCCACGGCUCAACCGUGGAGGGUCAUUGGAAACUGGGAGACUUGAGUGCAGAAGAGGAAAGUGGAAUUCCAUGUGUAGCGGUGAAAUGCGUAGAGAUAUGGAGGAACACCAGUGGCGAAGGCGACUUUCUGGUCUGUAACUGACACUGAGGCGCGAAAGCGUGGGGAGCAAACAGG